AGUGAACGCUGGCGGUAGGCCUAACACAUGCAAGUCGAACGGCAGCACAGUAAGAGCUUGCUCUUACGGGUGGCGAGUGGCGGACGGGUGAGGAAUACAUCGGAAUCUACUUUUUCGUGGGGGAUAACGUAGGGAAACUUACGCUAAUACCGCAUACGACCUACGGGUGAAAGCAGGGGAUCUUCGGACCUCGCGCGAUUGAAUGAGCCGAUGUCGGAUUAGCUAGUUGGCGGGGUAAAGGCCCACCAAGGCGACGAUCCGUAGCUGGUCUGAGAGGAUGCUCAGACACACUGGAACUGAGACACGGUCCAGGCUCCUACGGGAGGCAGCAGUGGAGAAUAUUGGACAAUGGGCGCAAGCCUGAUCCAGCCAUACCGCGUGGGUGAAGAAGCCCUUCGGGUUGUAAAGCCCUUUUGUUGGGAAAGAAAAGCAGCAGGUUAAUACCCCGCUGUUCUGACGGUACCCAAAGAAUAAGCACCGGCUAACUUCGUG
This 492-nucleotide ribosomal RNA is filed under the name uncultured bacterium. RNAcentral's name for it is "partial 16S ribosomal RNA". It matches the Rfam family "Bacterial small subunit ribosomal RNA", at positions 29 to 507 of the family's 1533-position model. The record is from RNAcentral.